This is a long non-coding RNA of Micropterus dolomieu (smallmouth bass), 1200 nucleotides long. RefSeq lists it as uncharacterized. The transcript is spliced from 3 exons. Lineage: Eukaryota; Metazoa; Chordata; Actinopteri; Centrarchiformes; Centrarchidae. The record is from RefSeq and is a predicted model, not a curated record.
UCCAACUUUGCCUUGAGGACCAGCAUCUCCAGGACGACCAGUAAGACCCUUUGAAAGGCACACAAAUUGUAGAGAUCAUCAGCAUCAUUCAGGAAGUGGGACGAAUCUCAAACAAAAUCUAAUAUAAUCAAUCACAUCAAAAUAACCACAUCAAACAUCUGGUUUGAGACUAAGAAGGGGAUAUGUGAGCAACAUUGUCUGUUUCUAAACUGGUAAUGAGUGAAGAUGCAGGACUCACUCUAGCUCCGGGGAGGCCAGACUCUCCUGUCCGUCCAGGGUCUCCAGUAGCACCUUUAGGACCAGCAGCACCAGGAACACCACGGUCACCAGGGGCACCCUGAAGAAGACAAGACAAGAGGAGGCUAGUUAAAUACCAAUCUGGACCCACCUUAGCACCAGCAAGACCAUCCUGACCUGGGAAACCACGGUUACCAGGAGCUCCCUGGAAAGGAUCAGAAACAAAUUUGUAUUGUGCAUAAAAUGGCAAGUAAUAAAGUCAUUCACAAUCUCACUUUUUCCCAAUGUUAUUGCACAUCCUGAUUACUCACUCUCUCUCCUGGAGGUCCGAGUGGUCCAGCAGCUCCAGGCUCUCCUCUGGCACCUCUCUUUCCUUCUUCACCAGAUGGACCAGGGGCACCUUGGGGACCAACAGGGCCCUGGAGAAAUCAAAUAUCUUCACCUUUGAAUCCAGGAAGACCAGGGUCUCCCUAAACAUGGCAAGAAGGAAGAAAGCCAUAUCAAUAAAUAAUCAUAGCACAAACAAGUCUUGAGGUUUCACAGAGUUUUAUUAUUCCCAAGUGACUUACGGACUGUCCCUUUGGCCCAAGAGGUCCUGUAGCUCCCUGUGGUCCAGGUGGGCCACGGGGGCCGGGGAAUCCAGGAGCACCAGCAAUACCAGAAGCACCCUUCAAGGAGGAAAGACAACAAAAUAACAAAAUAAAGUAAAACAGUAAUAUUGUGAAUAAUAAAAGGAACAAAAGGUAAUGGAGGACUUUUAAACCAUGAAUGACAGAGAAUGGACUUACAGCAGAUCCUUUAGCUCCUGGAAUACCAUCAGUACCGGGGUUACCCUAAUCCGGAAGAGAAGAAGAACCGUUGCAUCACAUUAUGUCGACAAUAAAUAAAUAACCUACCCAUUGUAAGAAUGGUACUGUUGUAUGUGUAAAUCUCAGGAUGAGUGAUGACAAACUAACCGAUGCU